RNAcentral lists this long non-coding RNA (2239 nucleotides) under Lathyrus oleraceus (garden pea). RNAcentral describes it as "Pisum sativum (pea) long non-coding RNA (PSAT_LNC003131)". Lineage: Eukaryota; Viridiplantae; Streptophyta; Magnoliopsida; Fabales; Fabaceae. The record is from RNAcentral.
UCGAAAUAUUUUAACUAAUUUAAUAUUUAAUAAGGAUGACUAUGAUAUUUUAAUAUUUAAUAAUAUUUUUAAUUGAUUUAAUAUUUUUUUAGAGAAAUAAUAAUUUAAUUGUUAUUUAAUUAAAUAAAAUUUUGGAAGAACAUUUUGUGCCUAAAGCGCAUUUCAUUGCAUAUGUUGCCCAUUUCAUUGCAUAUGUUUAUUUCUCAAAAGUCCACUUCCAUUUCAACCCACUUAUGCAAUACCAUUUGAUCAAACUUUUUACCAUAAUAUUAGGAAAAAACAAUGUGGGACUCGGACACAAAGGAGUUCAUUCUUCAAAUCUGGUCAUACUUGCAAUACUUAACAUAUUUGAUAAGCGAACAAAAUUGUUACCGCUUAGAAUCAGACUCUCCAAUGAUAAUAAGCAAUCAACAUCAUGGGGAACAAAAUUGUUACCAUUGCGUUACGUAGGCUUAGCCUCUUUCUCUAUCUACAUUUAUAUCUGAUAAUCUCACUAGUGGACAGCGAACAAAAAGAUGCCACACUAAGAAAGUAAUCCAAUCAGGAACAAGGUAGUUAAGGACAUGCGGACUAACUGCUCUGACAUUCCUAUUUUUUGAAAUGAAUCUUCGGACCUUCUGCCAGCGUUAACACCAUCCGAGCUUGCACUGUCGCUCGAAGAGAGAUGCCUGUGAGACCCCCUCCAGUACUGUAAUUCGAAGGAGGUUCUGAGAAUGAAAUUCAAACCCCUCGUCACUUACUAGUGAGCCGGAAAGCUUAGUGACGCCUCUCGUUCCUCUUCUCCCAUUUGACAACCGUAUCUCAGAAUGUUCGGAUGAUUCUCUGGAACUAAUAUAUGCUUUCUUUUUUUAAUGAAUGGGGAUAUAUCGUUGGGAAAAAGCAGAAGAAAAGGAUUUAACAGGUAGAAGAAGGGAAGUUCGGAAAAGCCUAGCAGACGGGACUAUCAACUCCUUUCUGUUACGAUCUCGGCACCAUCCUUACCCCCUUUAAAGCAAAUGCCUGUGAGAAGCCUUAGAAGUUACAGGACAUAGAAGCGGGCCUAAGAAAUUGGUCAAGAAGUGAAUUGAAUCUUUUCCAGUCUAGAGACUGGCAGUUUACCCUCGAAAGAAAGGAUUAAAAUCUUCCUUCUACUUUGAACAAGAUAAAUGGACAGACGAGUUGAAUAAUACAGGGACAGAUAAGCUAGACGAGGUUCCCCUUUGAUAUCUCCCAACCUAAAGGUUUAUGCAGAGGUGGGUCUUUCAACUACUCUUUCGAUGAAGGGUGCAUUACAAGACCAUCGGUACUAAAAAGAUAAAAUUGAGGGUUUUCGUUGAUAUUGAGUCGACUAUAAACUACUCAUCUUGCUUGGAACCAUCGUUAUGUAUGGGAAAAAGGGUUCUACCUAUGCUAGGAAAAGGGUGAAUGGUCCCAAAAGGGACGGGAUAAAACCCACUAGAAAGAAUGGGGGGUCAUCCACUCUGUCAUUGGGUAGUAAACUUUAUCUGUGACUUUGAGUACAAGAUUUCCGAGAUCAAGAAACUAGCAAACAAAUAUGCUCGGCUGGACUCUUUUCUCAUAUGCCCGGAAAAUAAAAUUGCGGUACAACUCAUCGUGCUGCAAAGCCUUUUGUUUCUCGUCCAAACACUCCAGAUCCGCACUUCCCUUUUCUCCAUAGGGCCAAAGCUUUACUAAGAAGGUUUUUUUAGAGGGAGCGUAAUGGGUGAUCUAUAUUGCUUGCCACAACUCUAUUCCUGACUCUAAAUCCAUAAAGGACUUUAAGAGAGGAUGAACAUUCCCGUUCUAUAGGUGGCACUGCCCCUGUUAGAGAAGGGUGAGUGACUACUGAUUCUCUACUAGCAUCGUUAAUUACCUUAGACCUACGCAGUAGGAACGAUAUAGAGGACCUACUCUACCGAUCAUCUGCUCUCUCGAGGUCGUCCUUCUCUAGGUACAAAAAGGACAUUACGGGAUAUUUAAUGAAGCUCAAUUGACAUUUAAGAUAAUUGGUAAAAAACUCUAGCCAAUUGAGCUUCGAUCUUCUCCACCUUCUCCGAUCUUCUCCACCUUCUCCAAUAAGAUCCUUAAAUGAUUGUCCCGACAGUUCCAAGUUCCAACUUCAAUUUUUACAAAUGUUAUUUAUUUUUUUAUGAAAUGAUAUUCUUCACACAAAUACUAUUUUUUAAGUUCAUAAAUUGAAUAAACUAAGAGUGAUUGAUUAUUCAAGUUAUCAAUGAAUAAGAUUUGAUUUUCAUUUUUU